Molecule: transfer RNA, 89 nt
Filed under: Deltaproteobacteria bacterium
Lineage: Bacteria; Pseudomonadati; Myxococcota; Myxococcia
Description: tRNA-Ser
Rfam family: tRNA
About the family: Transfer RNA (tRNA) molecules are approximately 80 nucleotides in length.
Source: RNAcentral
GGAGGGAUGGCCGAGCGGCUUAAGGCGGCGGUCUUGAAAACCGCUUCUCCCGAAAGGAGACGGGGGUUCGAAUCCCUCUCCCUCCGCCA